This 70-nucleotide unclassified non-coding RNA is filed under the name Flavobacterium pectinovorum. Its description in RNAcentral is "Flavo-1 RNA". Lineage: Bacteria; Pseudomonadati; Bacteroidota; Flavobacteriia; Flavobacteriales; Flavobacteriaceae. The record is from RNAcentral.
UUUUCGCCACGAAUUCACGAAUUAUUCUUCUUCUUUUUAAUGAAGAAAAUUCGUGAAUUCGUGGCUAUUU